RNAcentral lists this ribosomal RNA (344 nucleotides) under Onthophagus pedator. RNAcentral's name for it is "partial 16S ribosomal RNA". Lineage: Eukaryota; Metazoa; Arthropoda; Insecta; Coleoptera; Scarabaeidae. The record is from RNAcentral.
GCUGCGAUAAUUUGAUCGUACAAAGGUAGCAUAAUAAUUAGUUUCUUCAUUGGGAACUGGAAUGAAAGGUCGAACGAAAAAGAAACUGUCUCAAUUUAAUUUUAAUUAGAAUUUUAUUUUUAAGUAAAAAAGCUUAAAUAAUUUUAAAAGACGAGAAGACCCUAUAGAGUUUUAUAUUUAUAUAUUUAUUUUUUAGUUUUAGGAUUUAUUUUUAGAAUUAAUUAUUAAAUAUUUGAUUGGGGUGAUUAAAAAAUUUAAUAAACUUUUUUUAUAAAUUUAACAUUAAUAGAUGAUUAAGUGAUCCAUAUAUAAUGAUUAAAAGAUUAAAUUACCUUAGGGAUAAA